CCUACGGGAGGCAGCAGUGAGGAAUAUUGGUCAAUGGGCGCGAGCCUGAACCAGCCAAGUCGCGUGAAGGAUGACUGCUCUACGGGUUGUAAACUUCUUUUAUACAGGAGUAAAGUGAGGCACGUGUGCCUUUUUGUAUGUACUUUAUGAAUAAGGAUCGGCUAACUCCGUGCCAGCAGCCGCGGUAAUACGGAGGAUCCGAGAGUUAUCCGGAUUUAUUGGGUUUAAAGGGAGCGUAGGUGGGUGGUUAAGUGAGGUGUGAAAGUCCGCGGCUCAACCGUAAAAUUGCAAUUGAUACUGGCAGCCUUGAGUACAGUUGCGGUAGGUGGAAUUCGUGGUGUAGCGGUGAAAUGCUUAGAUAUCACGCAGAACUCCGAUUGCGAAGGCAGCUUACUAAGCUGCCACUGACAUUGAUGCUCGAAAGUGUGGGUAUCAAACAGGAUUAGAUACCCCGGUAGUC
This 460-nucleotide ribosomal RNA is filed under the name uncultured bacterium. RNAcentral describes it as "partial 16S ribosomal RNA". It matches the Rfam family "Bacterial small subunit ribosomal RNA", at positions 338 to 795 of the family's 1533-position model. The record is from RNAcentral.